This 84-nucleotide transfer RNA is filed under the name Apaloderma vittatum (bar-tailed trogon). It matches the Rfam family "tRNA", at positions 11 to 71 of the family's 71-position model. Rfam says of the family: Transfer RNA (tRNA) molecules are approximately 80 nucleotides in length. Their secondary structure includes four short double-helical elements and three loops (D, anti-codon, and T loops). Further hydrogen bonds mediate the characteristic L-shaped molecular structure. tRNAs have two regions of fundamental functional importance: the anti-codon, which is responsible for specific mRNA codon recognition, and the 3' end, to which the tRNAs corresponding amino acid is attached (by aminoacyl-tRNA synthetases). tRNAs cope with the degeneracy of the genetic code in two manners: having more than one tRNA (with a specific anti-codon) for a particular amino acid; and 'wobble' base-pairing, i.e. permitting non-standard base-pairing at the 3rd anti-codon position. Lineage: Eukaryota; Metazoa; Chordata; Aves; Trogoniformes; Trogonidae. The record is from Rfam by way of RNAcentral.
CUCAGUGGUUUGAGUGUGGUGCUGACAACACCGCAACAACAAUGACUGACACCGAGGUCGUGGGUUCGAUUCCCACUCAGUCCC